Molecule: unclassified non-coding RNA, 261 nt
Filed under: plant metagenome
Description: partial contains small subunit ribosomal RNA, internal transcribed spacer 1, and 5.8S ribosomal RNA
Source: RNAcentral
UAUCCGUAGGUGAACCUGCGGAAGGAUCAUUAUUGUAUAACCGAGGUGCGAGGGCUGUCGCUGACCCGAAAGGUCGUGCACGCCCGAGUGCCCUCACACAUCCAUCUCACCCCUAUGUGCACCACCGCGUGGGUCCCCCUUUGGCUUGUUCGGAGGGGGGCUUACGUUUUCACACAAACUUUGUAUGCAGUGUAGAAUGUAUUUUUUGUUUUUGCGAUCACGCAAUCAAUACAACUUUCAACAACGGAUCUCUUGGCUCUC